UAUGUGAUCGUCUCUCGCAUAUCAAUAAGCGGAGGAAAAGAAACUAACAAGGAUUCCCCUAGUAACGGCGAGUGAAGCGGGAAGAGCUCAAAUUUGAAAUCUUAAAGGGUUUCCCUUUACGAAUUGUAGUUUAAAGAAGUGUUUUCUGUUGAGGUUUUGGUAAAAGUUCUUUGGAAUAGGACAUCAUAGAGGGUGAGAAUCCCGUAUUUGACCUUUACUUUCAACUUUGUGAUACACUUUCAAAGAGUCGGAUUGUUUGGGAAUGCAGUCCAAAAUGGGUGGCUAAAUUUCAUCUAAAGCUAAAUAUUGGCGAGAGACCGAUAGCGAACAAGUACCGUGAGGGAAAGAUGAAAAGAACUUUGAAAAGAGAGUUAAACAGUACGUGAAAUUGUCAAAAGGGAAGCGUUUGACACCAGUGUUGUUUUUCUGAAAAUCAAUUAAAGAACUGUUUAUGCUAAGUUGUUUAGACUUUAUCAGCUAUCUGUUUAGUUUUGAGCUUUUCUUUAAUGCACUUUUCAGUUAACAAGUCAACAUCAAUUUCUUUUGCUGUAAAAAAGCUUGAGGAAGGUGGCUUGAGAUUCGUCUUAAGUGUUUAUAGCCUCUUGCCUAUGCAGUCGGAGAGAUUGAGGUCUGCAGCGUAGAUCCUUCGGGGCUAAAUGCAUUUGUGCUAAGUUAUAACAUUUUAUAGACAACUUGUUGACUAUGAUUUGUCUUGUAGCUUACUCGCUUAUGUUAUUUUACCUACGCUUAGGAUGUUGAAGUCAUCGUAUCGCGC
RNAcentral lists this ribosomal RNA (775 nucleotides) under uncultured Neocallimastigales. Its description in RNAcentral is "partial large subunit ribosomal RNA". It matches the Rfam family "Eukaryotic large subunit ribosomal RNA", at positions 24 to 645 of the family's 3401-position model. Lineage: Eukaryota; Fungi; Neocallimastigomycota; Neocallimastigomycetes; Neocallimastigales. The record is from RNAcentral.